Molecule: long non-coding RNA, 465 nt
Organism: Corapipo altera (White-ruffed manakin)
Lineage: Eukaryota; Metazoa; Chordata; Aves; Passeriformes; Pipridae
Exons: 2
Source: RefSeq, a predicted model, not a curated record
GGGCCCUGACAGGAUCUGUGUUCCCAGGGAUCGCCGGGGGGUACCUGAGGGGACAGCCCGAAGAGCUGCAAAUCAUCUGCGAGGCCCUUCAAGCCAUGAGAAAAGACAACUGCCCCUCCUACACAAGCGUGAUGGUUCAAGCCCUCUUUGACCAAAGAGCUGCAGUAUUAAAUUCAUCUUCUGCAUCGAGACAAGCGGCGUCCCUAGAAAAGCACCAGAUACCACUCAACAGGAGACCACCUGGAGACCAGAGGAAACCAUCUGGAGCUCCAGGCACUGAUGCCGAGCCCAACUGAGCCUGCCAGGAAGACCUUGUGGCUCCUGGCCUGUCCUUCCCUCUUGACCCGUCCCUGCCUCCAUACUGCUCCAUCCCUUUAGCCUUCAGACCCAGCCUGUUCCCUUCUGCUCCCAGCUCAUCCCUCCACUUCCCCUUCCCUUAAUAAACAGUUGGGUUUCUCCCCCCUA